Molecule: ribosomal RNA, 449 nt
Filed under: uncultured bacterium
Lineage: Bacteria
Description: bacterial SSU rRNA
Rfam family: Bacterial small subunit ribosomal RNA
Source: RNAcentral
CCAGACUCCUACGGGAGGCAGCAGUGGGGAAUAUUGGGCAAUGGAGGAAACUCUUACCCAGCAAUGCCGCGUGAAUGAAGAAGGUCUUCGGAUUGUAAAGUUCUUUAAUUGGGGACGAAAAAAAUGACGGUACCCAAGGAAUAAGCCCCGGCUAACUACGUGCCAGCAGCCGCGGUAAUACGUAGGUGGCAAGCGUUGUCCGGAUUUACUGGGUGUAAAGGGCGUGCAGCCGGAGAGACAAGUCAGAUGUGAAAUCCACGGGCUCAACCCGUGAACUGCAUUUGAAACUGUUUCCCUUGAGUGUCGGAGAGGUAAUCGGAAUUCCUUGUGUAGCGGUGAAAUGCGUAGAUAUAAGGAAGAACACCAGUGGCGAAGGCGGAUUACUGGACGAUAACUGACGGUGAGGCGCGAAAGCGUGGGGAGCAAACAGGAUUAGAUACCCCGGUACA